RNAcentral lists this long non-coding RNA (213 nucleotides) under Nicotiana benthamiana. Its description in RNAcentral is "long non-coding RNA (NBEN_LNC015368)". Lineage: Eukaryota; Viridiplantae; Streptophyta; Magnoliopsida; Solanales; Solanaceae. The record is from RNAcentral.
CCGCUUCAACAUUCUUUACAGAACCCACCAACACAAACCUACUAUCUUCCCUUUCUGCCACAUCAGAAAAUACAAAACAAGUGUUUACUUCACCUGGGUUUCUUGACUCUUGUCAUUGUCAGAAGACCCAGGUUCUUCUUCUUCACUAGCAGAAAAAAAAUUUUCAGACUCAGAGCUUGAGUCAGAUUCUUAAGCUGGAACCUCUUUCUUUUG